Molecule: ribosomal RNA, 442 nt
Filed under: uncultured bacterium
Lineage: Bacteria
Description: partial 16S ribosomal RNA
Rfam family: Bacterial small subunit ribosomal RNA
Source: RNAcentral
CCUACGGGGGGCUGCAGUAGGGAAUCUUUCACAAUGGGCGAAAGCCUGAUGGAGCAACGCCGCGUGCAGGAUGAAGGCCUUCGGGUUGUAAACUGCUUUUAUAAGCGAGAAAUAUGAUGGUAACUUAUGAAUAAGGCUCGGCUAACUACGUUCCAGCAGCCGCGGUCAUACGUAGGAUCCGAGCAUUAUCCGGAGUGACUGGGUGUAAAGAGUUGCGUAGGUGGCAUAAUAAGUAGCUAGUGAAAUCUGGUGGCUCAACCAUUCAGACUAUUAGCUAAACUGUUAAGCUCGAGACCGUUAGGGGUAACUGGAAUUUCUAGUGUAGGAGUGAAAUCCGUAGAUAUUAGAAGGAACACCAAUAGCGUAGGCAGGUUGCUGGGACGGUUCUGACACUAAGGCACGAAAGCGUAGGGAGCAAACGGGAUUAGAUACCCGUGUAGUC